CUACGGGGGGCUCCAGUAGGGAAUCUUAGACAAUGGGGGAAACCCUGAUCUAGCCAUGCCGCGUGAGUGAUGAAGGCCUUAGGUUGUAAAGCUCUUUCGCUGGGGAAGAUAAUGACGGUACCCAGUAAAGAAACCCCGGCUAACUCCGUGCCAGCAGCCGCGGUGAUACGGAGGGGGUUAGCGUUGUUCGGAAUUACUGGGCGUAAAGCGCGCGUAGGCGGGCUAUUAAGUCAGGGGUGAAAUCCCGGGGCUCAACCCCGGAACUGCCUUUGAUACUGGUAGUCUUGAGUUCGAGAGAGGUGAGUGGAAUUCCGAGUGUAGAGGUGAAAUGCGUAGAUAUUCGGAGGAACAUCAGUGGCGAAGGCGACUCACUGGCUCGAUACUGACGCUGAGGUGCGAAAGUGUGGGGAGCAAACAGGAUUAGAUACCCCCGUAGUC
This 438-nucleotide ribosomal RNA is filed under the name uncultured bacterium. RNAcentral describes it as "partial 16S ribosomal RNA". It matches the Rfam family "Bacterial small subunit ribosomal RNA", at positions 339 to 795 of the family's 1533-position model. The record is from RNAcentral.